UUAGCCAUGGGAUAUGGGAUCUUGUCUUUUCCUUACAUAUCAGAAGUUAAACAAGACAGAAUUGGCAUUGUCGGUUUUACACCUGUCCAAGGCAUCACGUUUGAGGACAUAAAAUUCAAGAACAAGUCUCGGGAGAAACAAAGACAGCAAAACUUACUAGCAAGGAAAGAGAAACCGCAACAAGAGAAACGCAAGAAAAGCUCCAAAGUGGCGGUUGAUGAUUCUAACAAAGCGUCGAGAAAGAGAAAGUUAACGGGGAGGCAAAGACAAACUAUCCAAACAGCUCAAGAUGAAAAAGAAAUGAAUGGAGAUUAUAGCUUACUGAAAAAACUGAAGAAAGGUUCAAUUACAGAAGAUGAUUUUGCAAAACUUACAGGAGCAGCUGAUGAUUUUGUCUGAUAAAAGAAAGAAGCAAGAAAACCUUUCAGGCUUGUUGGACUAGAGCUGC
This 448-nucleotide long non-coding RNA is filed under the name Capsella rubella. Its description in RNAcentral is "long non-coding RNA (CRUB_LNC002423)". The record is from RNAcentral. Lineage: Eukaryota; Viridiplantae; Streptophyta; Magnoliopsida; Brassicales; Brassicaceae.